UGGUCGUCAUCUAGCAUCAUUGCUGUGG
This 28-nucleotide non-coding RNA is filed under the name Bombyx mori (domestic silkworm). The record is from RNAcentral. Lineage: Eukaryota; Metazoa; Arthropoda; Insecta; Lepidoptera; Bombycidae.